AUUGAACGCUGGCGGCAUGCCUUACACAUGCAAGUCGAACGGCAGCACGGGUGCUUGCACCUGGUGGCGAGUGGCGAACGGGUGAGUAAUACAUCGGAACGUACCUUAUCGUGGGGGAUAACGCAGCGAAAGCUGUGCUAAUACCGCAUACGCCCUGAGGGGGAAAGCGGGGGAUCGAAAGACCUCGCGCGAUUAGAGCGGCCGAUGCCUGAUUAGCUUGUUGGUGGGGUAAAAGCCCACCAAGGCGACGAUCAGUAGCUGGUCUGAGAGGACGAGCAGCCACACUGGGACUGAGACACGGCCCAGACUCCUACGGGAGGCAGCAGUGGGGAAUUUUGGACAAUGGGGGCAACCCUGAUCCAGCAAUGCCGCGUGAGUGAAGGAGGCCUUCGGGUUGUAAAGCUCUUUUGUCAGGGAAGAAACACCGGCUCUAACACAGUCCGGGAAUGACGGUACCUGAAGAAUAAGCACCAGCUAACUACGUGCCAGCCGCCGCGGUAA
This 501-nucleotide ribosomal RNA is filed under the name uncultured bacterium. Its description in RNAcentral is "partial 16S ribosomal RNA". It matches the Rfam family "Bacterial small subunit ribosomal RNA", at positions 29 to 523 of the family's 1533-position model. The record is from RNAcentral.